Molecule: long non-coding RNA, 2199 nt
Organism: Gallus gallus (chicken)
Lineage: Eukaryota; Metazoa; Chordata; Aves; Galliformes; Phasianidae
Source: Ensembl
CCACAACAUCAGUUAACAAGCAAGUUAAGAGCUGAACUACUGGAGCUGGGAAUGCUGUAAUGAUUCCUACGUGCAGAAAGUUGGAAUGAAGAACAGCCAGGGUCAGCUGAGGUAGUUACACUCCAGUCUCAACCUCCACCUCUCUGAAACCCACUGCUCUGAACCCCACGCCCUCCUGGAUGAUGAUCACAUCGCUUGGUGAACCCUUGUCCUGCACAAUAAUGCACUCGUCCUCACGCUUGGAGAUGGUAAUUUCAAUUAUGUCCUUUGUUGAUGGCAGCUCAGCAGCUCUCCUUCUAGGUUCUGGCGGGCUGCCUCGAGGCUGGUAAGCAGCAAUGCGGUGACCACUGGCUGUGAUCAACAACUGUGUGUUAUUUUCUGGCCCCGGCACCUCCAGCAUAAGCAAGGCGGGCUCUGCCACAGCCUCCUCGUGGGAGGGGCUCUUCCUCUGAGGCCGGAGUAGACCCACAACAGGAGACACCUAUGCAGCGCUCAUUUCCUCAGGAUCCUUUUCUGCCUGGUGGGUGAGCAUGUAGCGUGCAAGACUGUGGAAGGGUGUAGCCCAUGACAGACAGCUCGCAUUUGUAGGGCUUGUCAGCCAGGAGGCAUUGCUGGUGGCACCGCAGCUUUGUGGCCAGGGAGUAGGACUUGCCGCACUGCUCACAGUGGGAAGGGCGCUCGCCUGCGUGCAGGCACUUGUGGGCACACAGCACGUGGGGGUCUCACGGUGCCUUGCCACACACAGCACAUAGGUGGGCCUCGCCCAUGUGGGAGAUGAGAUGGCACUGCAGCUCUGGCAGUUUGGGGAGGGCAUCACUGCAGAAAUGGCACUUUUAGGGCUUCUGACCCGUAUGCAGCCGGAGGUGCUCACACGGCUUGCUCUGCUGUCAGAAGUCCUUGCUGCAGUAGGGACAAGUGUAAGGCCACUCGUCUGUGUGCAGACGCAUGUGGUUGUGCAAAGAACUAGGGUUGGCCAGGCAGCAUCUGCAAAUGGCACACUGGCAUCCCUUGGGAUCAACUGGGUCGGUCCCAGCAGCCACGUGGAUCUUCCUGUGAAUGCGCAGAGAGGGCUGGCGUGCACAAGCCUUGCCACACUGCUCACAGGAGAAGGGGCUCUGGCUGGAGUGCAGGACCUGGUGCUCCCACAGGUCUCACUUCGCGUGGUAAGCCUUCUCACACUGGGUGCACUGGAAAGGCCGCACACCCUGGUGGGCCAACAGAUGGGCCUUGAAGCUGUUCUCUGAGCUGUUGCUCUUUUCAUACUCUAUGCACAGGUAGCACUUGUGGCCAGCAUGGACAAAGCGGUGCUUCUUGAGGUGGCAGAGCUGCAGGAAGGCUCUGCCACGCUCCCUGCAGUAGUGCGCGCUUGACCACCUCGUCCUUCUGGGACAGCGAUUCUGGGAGUGGGCUUGGGCUGCCAGAAGGACCUUCUGCUAGCUCCCUACAGCUCUCCUGUCCUGCAGCCUCCUCCAGUGGGCCCUUCUUUCCAUGCUCUGGGGAUGCCAAUUUAGAGACUUUGGAAAUGUUUCUUUCUUUCCUGCAAGUAGCUACAUAUUGUUCUUUACGACUGGGCUGCUGGGGGUCCUGCCCAGCUGUUCUGGCAUCACUGGCCCACAUGCCCACACAAGCAGCAAGUUGAACCCCACUUGAGGAUAAUCCAGGUCUCCGGAAUGUGCCUCUUUUUGCCCCAUCUCCACUUUUUCUGAUGUGGAUCCGUGACCCACACCCUUGUCCUGCUCUUCCCUGCACCUGCCGCUGGCUUUGAUGUUUGAGAUGGCCUUGAGGUGCUCAUUCUCAGUCCUCGGCACUUUGGCUUGCCAUGGCUCACGUCUGGGAGAAGUGCCUUCCUCUCCUGGCAGCCCAUGGCAGUGUUUGGUGGCCGGCCUCCGAGCUUCAACGGGACAUCAAGGACUCUGGUUUUGUCAGGCCCUGCUCCGGAGAAGUAGGAAUCGCCUGCACAAACACAAAAGCACACUGGGUGAAUUACCACUGGCUGUUACUGGGUCAGAGAACAAACCUCGGAGAAAGACACUGCUACCAGCCAUCGCAGGUCUCUGCAGGAAAACCAUCGCUUCUAUGACUUCAUUUAUCUUUUUAACGAGGGAAGCUGGGCAAAGCCUUUCUUCCCUCACCGCAGAAGGCAGCCGGGCAGUAUUUCUACCACCCGGGGAGGGCACAGCUCUGCAGCGGGUGCUCCGC